AGAGUUUGAUCAUGGCUCAGGACGAACGCUGGCGGCGUGCUUAACACAUGCAAGUCGAACGGUAAGGCCCUUUCGGGGGUACACGAGUGGCGAACGGGUGAGUAACACGUGGGUGAUCUGCCCUGCACUUUGGGAUAAGCCUGGGAAACUGGGUCUAAUACCGGAUAGGACUACGCGAUGCAUGUCGUGUGGUGGAAAGCUUUUGCGGUGUGGGAUGGGCCCGCGGCCUAUCAGCUUGUUGGUGAGGUAACGGCUCACCAAGGCUUCGACGGGUAGCCGGCCUGAGAGGGUGACCGGCCACACUGGGACUGAGACACGGCCCAGACUCCUACGGGAGGCAGCAGUGGGGAAUAUUGGACAAUGGGCGAAAGCCUGAUCCAGCAACGCCGCGUGAGGGAUGACGGCCUUCGGGUUGUAAACCUCUUUCAGUACCGACGAAGCGCCAAUAACGGUGGUGACGGUAGGUACAGAAGAAGGACCGGCCAACUACGUGCCAGCAGCGGCGGUAAUAC
Molecule: ribosomal RNA, 512 nt
Filed under: uncultured bacterium
Lineage: Bacteria
Description: bacterial SSU rRNA
Rfam family: Bacterial small subunit ribosomal RNA
Source: RNAcentral